RNAcentral lists this ribosomal RNA (826 nucleotides) under Nothofagiporus venatus. RNAcentral's name for it is "eukaryotic LSU rRNA". It matches the Rfam family "Eukaryotic large subunit ribosomal RNA", at positions 102 to 941 of the family's 3401-position model. The record is from RNAcentral. Lineage: Eukaryota; Fungi; Basidiomycota; Agaricomycetes; Polyporales; Postiaceae.
GAAAAGCUCAAAUUUAAAAUCUCCCUUUCUUUGUCGCCCGAGUUGUAAUCUGGAGAAGUGCUUUCCGUGCUGGACCGUGUACAAGUCUCUUGGAACAGAGCGUCAUAGAGGGUGAGAAUCCCGUCUUUGACACGGACUACCAGUGCUUUGUGAUGCGCUCUCAAAGAGUCGAGUUGUUUGGGAAUGCAGCUCAAAAUGGGUGGUAAAUUCCAUCUAAAGCUAAAUAUUGGCGAGAGACCGAUAGCGAACAAGUACCGUGAGGGAAAGAUGAAAAGAACUUUGGAAAGAGAGUUAAACAGUACGUGAAAUUGCUGAAAGGGAAACGCUUGAAGUCAGUCGCGUCGGCCGGGACUCAGCCUUGCUUUUGCUUGGUGCACUUUCCGGUUGACGGGUCAGCAUCAGUUUUGAUUGUCGGACAAUGGCUGAGGGAAUGUGGCAUCCUCGGAUGUGUUAUAGCCCUUGGUCGCAUACGAUGGUUGGGACUGAGGAUCAUGGCACUUUGUGCUUAGGAUGCUGGCAUAAUGGCUUUAAACGACCCGUCUUGAAACACGGACCAAGGAGUCUAACAUGCAUGCGAGUGUUUGGGUGGAAAACUCGAGCGCGUAAUGAAAGUGAAAGUUGAGACCCCUGUCGUGGGGGGCAUCGACGCCCGGACCAGACCUUUUGUGACGGAUCUGCGGUAGAGCAUGUAUGUUGGGACCCGAAAGAUGGUGAACUAUGCCUGAAUAGGGUGAAGCCAGAGGAAACUCUGGUGGAGGCUCGUAGCGAUUCUGACGUGCAAAUCGAUCGUCAAAUUUGGGUAUAGGGGCGAAAGACUAAUCGAACC